UAUGAAACCCAUUUGCGCGAGAGUAGUACUAGGAUGGGUGACCUCCUGGGAAGUCCUCGUGAAAGGGUUUCAUAU
This is a non-coding RNA of Triticum aestivum (bread wheat), 75 nucleotides long. The record is from Rfam. NCBI's taxonomy places the organism in Eukaryota, Viridiplantae, Streptophyta, Magnoliopsida, Poales, Poaceae.